This 317-nucleotide ribosomal RNA is filed under the name uncultured bacterium. RNAcentral describes it as "bacterial SSU rRNA". It matches the Rfam family "Bacterial small subunit ribosomal RNA", at positions 28 to 334 of the family's 1533-position model. The record is from RNAcentral.
GAUGAACGCUGGCGGCGUGCCUAACACAUGCAAGUCGAACGGGGGCAGAUUGAAACCUAGUGAUAUCUGCCCGAGUGGCGGACGGGUGAGUAACGCGUGGACAACCUGCCGCAUGCAGGGGGAUACCGGCUGGAAACAGCCGCUAAUACCGCAUAUGCGCACGGCGCCGCAUGGCGCCGCACGGAAAGGGAGCGAUUCCGGCAUGCGAUGGGUCCGCGUCCGAUUAGCUGGUUGGCGGGGCAGCGGCCCACCAAGGCGACGAUCGGUAGCCGGCCUGAGAGGGCGGACGGCCACAUUGGGACUGAGACACGGCCCAG